This 492-nucleotide ribosomal RNA is filed under the name uncultured bacterium. RNAcentral describes it as "partial 16S ribosomal RNA". It matches the Rfam family "Bacterial small subunit ribosomal RNA", at positions 32 to 507 of the family's 1533-position model. The record is from RNAcentral.
AGUCAACGCUGGCGGUAGGCCUAACACAUGCAAGUCGAACGGCAGCACAGUAAGAGCUUGCUCUUACGGGUGGCGAGUGGCGGACGGGUGAGGAAUACAUCGGAAUCUACUUUUUCGUGGGGGAUAACGUAGGGAAACUUACGCUAAUACCGCAUACGACCUACGGGUGAAAGCAGGGGAUCUUCGGACCUUGCGCGAUUGAAUGAGCCGAUGUCGGAUUAGCUAGUUGGCGGGGUAAAGGCCCACCAAGGCGACGAUCCGUAGCUGGUCUGAGAGGAUGAUCAGCCACACUGGAACUGAGACACGGUCCAGACUCCUACGGGAGGCAGCAGUGGGGAAUAUUGGACAAUGGGCGCAAGCCUGAUCCAGCCAUACCGCGUGGGUGAAGAAGGCCUUCGGGUUGUAAAGCCCUUUUGUUGGGAAAGAAAAGCAGCAGGUUAAUACCCAGCUGUUCUGACGGUACCCAAAGAAUAAGCACCGGCUAACUUCGUG